AUUGAACGCUGGCGGCAGGCCUAACACAUGCAAGUCGAGCGGAUGAAGGGAGCUUUCUCCUGGAUUCAGCGGCGGACGGGUGAGUAAUGCCUAGGAAUCUGCCUGGUAUUGGGGGAUAACGUCCGGAAACGGGCGCUAAUACCGCAUACGUCCUGAUGGUGAAAGUGGGGGAUCUUCGGACCUCACGCUAUCAGAUGAGCCUAGGUCGGAUUAGAUAGUUGGUGGGGUAAAGGCCUACCAAGGCGACGAUCCGUAACUGGUCUGAGAGGAUGAUCAGUCACACUGGAACUGAGACACGGUCCAGACUCCUACGGGAGGCAGCAGUGGGGAAUAUUGGACAAUGGGCGAAAGCCUGAUCCAGCCAUGCCGCGUGUGUGAAGAAGGUCUUCGGAUUGUAAAGCACUUUAAGUUGGGAGGAAGGGCAGUAAGUUAAUACCUUGCUGUUUUGACGUUACCAACAGAAUAAGCACCGGCUAACUUCGUG
RNAcentral lists this ribosomal RNA (484 nucleotides) under uncultured bacterium. RNAcentral describes it as "partial 16S ribosomal RNA". It matches the Rfam family "Bacterial small subunit ribosomal RNA", at positions 30 to 507 of the family's 1533-position model. The record is from RNAcentral.